Molecule: unclassified non-coding RNA, 4575 nt
Filed under: Penaeus chinensis
Lineage: Eukaryota; Metazoa; Arthropoda; Malacostraca; Decapoda; Penaeidae
Description: mucin-17-like, transcript variant X1
Source: RNAcentral
UCAGUCGUUCGUUGGAGCGCGUCCUGGCAGCAACGCGAGCGAGGCGCUGCUCCUCUCUCAGAAGCUCUGUUGUGUGUGCGUCGCAGAGGUGAUGAUGUAGAUUGUUUCUAGUACCUACAAGCUACUUAAACUCGAGUCGAGAGGUAAUGCUAUAAGACUGGAAAAAGUCAAAAUGGUAAAUACAAGGCGUUUGUCCAAAAUGAGUGUUGCAGUCUAUCUAGUGAUGGUCGGUGCCAUCUCCGCGAACUGGGUGCCAUAUACGCUAGGCGGCAAUACCGUCAUGGUGGACAGCAGUGCCCUGGGACACAGCAAACCUCUUCUGAUAUACCUCCAAGAGGGUAUGCCUCAUCGUAGAAAUUCUGACGAAGUCAAUGACAACGCAGAGGCCGUGGACACGGAAGGGAGCGUACCAGAUGCAGGCGCGGAACGCAAGACCGAGUCUCCUUCCGAUGCGCCGCACGAAGACGCUGAGCCAGACACUCAGGCAUCAAAUCUUUUCACCAAUCAAUUUGGAUUCACCAAAGAUAAAAACGGCAAUCUGAACAUCGACGUGUUUCCCACAUCCCAGACCUGGGACUGGGAAAACCAGGAUGUUCUUCCCGGCACCCACGAGUCCCUGUACUACGCUGUCCAGACCCCAGACGCCAGCCACGUCUCGCAGAAGAUCCAUAAUAUCGUGACGACCCUCAACCAGAAUAACGCCGGCGUGAAGUUGAACGACCGAGCGCCCAUCGAUGCCUUUCCCAUCAUGCCCGCCCGCCCAGGAGACGUCCCUCCCGUCCUGAGCGAAAGCGGGUUUGCCGGUGUGUCUGUGAUGCACAAAGUCCCACAGGACACUGAACCCUACGACGAGUCCACGACAAAUACUGGAAAUUUCAAUCUGUACGUAAAUAAUGAUCCCAUUGAGUCAGCGACCCCAGAAGGAGGCGUUUAUCAAUACGAAGAUCAAAUCAUUUUCGAACCACCGGCCUUCCCGUCCCUCAGUUCGUGGGUCAAUGUUGAUCACAGAAUCAAACAAAAGGAUCCCUCCGUGCAUGCAGCGACGGGUUUGCAACUAGGAAGUCCGCACGCGGCGCCUCUCGCACCCAGUGACCUACAUCGCCCCGGCCAUGACUCAUCGAACGCUCCAGAACAAAUCGCUGAGCAAGUUAGCGAUUCGCUCGUCGCGGUCUCUGCUGCCGACGAGAAGCAGGCAGCGAAUACCAAAGAUGAGUCUUCAGUUACUAGUACGACACAAGUUUCUGAUGUCAGUCUGGAUGUAACCCAACUCCCCGAAGUCACACAAGAUGCACCUACAAUUGCCAGUGCUACUCACGUCACUGAUGUCAGAGAGGGUGCUUCUCCAACCAGUGACGUCCCGAGUGUCUCUCAGGACAACGGUAUUAUCACUGAAGCGGCUAUUGAGUCCACCAGUGAAGCGCAAAGUACUGUUCAGAGUGAAGGUUCAGUGAGUGACAUUUCCAGCCAACAAACGGAAAAUGACGCUCUGAUAGAAGCCAGUGUGGCAAAUCCAAUGCAAAGUUCAGCCCAGGGUCAAGAAGAAGCCACAGAAAAUCCAGAAAACGGGAACGACGACCUCGGUGGUGAAGUCUCCACGAUCCCCGAUGUCCUAGAAACGACAGAGGCAUCUUCUGAAGUGAACACGACAAUCCCUGUGGAUGAGUUCCUGCUUCAGAAGGAGGAAGAAUUAAGACUCAAGGAAGAACAGGAGAAGCAAGCGAUGCUAGCCGAGCAGCAGGCUCACCUUGCUCUUGAACUAGCGAUGGCAGACCUCUUCACAGAUUUCACCAAAGAUGAAAAGACUAAUCAGUCCGAGAGCGACACCGAUGAAGUUGAAGGAAAUCCAUUAUCCAUUACUACAAUUGAGCGAGAUUCCUCGGACCUGCUAGACGAGUCCGAUCAAAGAGCUGAUUCUCAGCUUCAGGAAACACAGACAGACAUUCCUGAGAUCUAUCAGACAACAACAGAAUCUAGACAGUCAGACGACCAACAAAUCAUCCAGAUAACAAGAGUAGAUGAACAGUCAACCAACGACCAGGAAACCAACGCUGAUGACCGCGUUGAAAGCUUUGUCCAUCAACCCACUUUGGAAGGAGAGUCAGACAUGAGUCAGGACGCGCGAGAAGAGGAGCAGUUUGGCACCACGCAAGAAGCUCUGGAAAAGCAGGCGGACGACCUGCCUGUUAGCACUCAAAAAACUAUAGUUAGAGAGUCAGGAGAUAUUCAGGAAACGCAGUUAGAGGAUCAGGUCGUCACCACUCAGGCACCCCAAGCAGAGAGGCAACCAGACGAUAUUCAGAAAGCACAGCUGGAUAGCAGUCAAGUUACCCUAUUUGACGGACGGCCAGACACCAGUCAGCAGACCCAUGUGGAAGAUCAGCUCAGCGCUUAUCCCGCGACCUUGGAAAAAGAAAAGCCGGGCAGCAGCGAAGGGACGCUAGAAAUCAGGCCCCUGCCAAGCACGGACGCCACGCCCUUGCCCACCUUGCCCAUUCUGUACAUGGGCAACCCGUCCCUCCUGAGCGACUUCCCUCCGACGCGCGAUGGGCCGACGUCCUCACAGACCGACCUCCACUACUCCCCGGCCGCCGGCGUCGACCUCCGCCCCAUCACCACAGACCAGGAGGACGGCGUGUACAACCAGAGGCACAACCCGCCCGGCCCCGAGUCCAGCCUCAUCAGCUGGUACGACCGCGACCCCAUAACCAUCUUCGACCCCCACCACCACUCGUCGAAGGUCACGGGGGCCCCCGAGAAGUCCGGGACGCCCAGCCCGCAGGACAACGACAUCCAGACUGGGGGAGGAGGCAUCCCGGGCCACCAGCCGCCCAGGCUCGACACCAACGACGAUGACGUCUUCCUUCCCGAAGAGGCAAAUAACACGGUGUCUCUUGUGAAGAAUGGAGCUGUUUUCCACGCCGCUAAUCCCAGCCUCAUUGAGAAGAGAACAUGCAGAUGUGGUCUGCGGUUCAACACAAAGAUCGUCGGCGGAGAUCCAACAGAUAUUGCACAGUAUCCGUGGCAGAUUGGCUUGGCCCAGAAAUACGACAAUUUUGUUUUCUGCGGAGGUUCCAUCAUCAACGAUCGAUAUAUCCUCACAGCCGCCCACUGUGUUGAUGGAAACUAUCCCGAAAACCUGGUCGUUCGCGUCGGUGAAACAACAAGAUCGGGUCCUGCAAUAACCAUAGAUGUAGAGAGAAUCACAGUUCAUGAAAAGUACAGCCACGAGUCGAUAGUCUCCUACGACAUUGCUUUACUGAGAUUAGCUUGGCCUAUUGAGUUCUCCGAGUCGGUUUUGCCCGUCUGUCUUCCGAAUAAUAAUAAGAAAUUCAGCAACAAGAAAGCGGUCGUCACCGGAUGGGGAAAAGAUAACUCCGUUGGCAAUGUACAGGAGAGGUUACAUGAAGUUACAGUCAAGGUUUUAUCAACGAAGAAGUGUAGAAAAAAUUCAGAAUAUGACAAGAAGGAAGUUCAUAAGAACAUUGUCUGUGCAGCGUCUAGAGAUAAAGAUGCUUGUCAGGGCGACAGCGGCGGGCCUCUGGUAGUUCUCGAGAGCGACUCCUACACGCAGAUCGGCGUGGUGUCUUGGGGCAUCGGCUGCGCGGAGCCGGACUACCCCGGCAUCUACACCCGUGUCUCAUCGUAUAUGAAGUGGAUCGGGGAUAAUACCCAAGAGGGCGUUAUGUGCCGAGGCCCUUCGGUUAAGGUAAAGGAUAAGAAUAAGAAUAAGAAUAAGAAUAAGAAAAACAAGAGGAAAAAUAAGAAUAAGAAGCAAAAUAAGGACAACAAGGAAAACGAGGACGAAGACGAGAAUAACAACAGAAAAAAGAACAAACCCGCUCUCGCCGGUCAGAUCUUGAAACUCACCGGCGGAGAAACAAACAAACGGAAAGAGAACAGGAACAAGAACAAGAACAAGAAUAAGAAUAAGAACGAAAAUGAAGGAGGGGAUAAAGAAUGGCAGAGUCUCACUCAAGCACUCAAAGGAAUCGCUGAGAUAUUUCGGGAAGAAGCCGACGAUACCCCAACGCCUGAACCAACGGCCGAAAAAUAGUCUCAGUGUUUCACAGCUUUAGGAAGUUUUUUGAGGCUCUAGAUGCCAGACUGGAAACUUGCUCUUGCACUCUUCUCUGUAGUUGUGCUCAUUUGUCGCGCAAAAGGCUCACAUAGAAAUUACAAUAAAUAGAUAAGUGAAUAAAUAGUAAAGACAGUGACAACAAAACAAAAAUAAAAUAAGUAAAAAUAAAUUUCCAGUUUGGUUUAGAGAUAAGCUUUAUUUAUGUUGGUCUCGAAUUUCUAAUGUGAAUGAGGCAUUUUUGAAUGACUUCGGUGUUAUAUUUAUUGGGGUAAAAUUAUGGGGAUAAUUUUUUGGUGGCAUUAUUAUUCAUAUUUAUAUCAUGACUCAUAUUUAUAUAUCAUAUAUAUAUUUAUAUAUAUUUAUUUCACUGAUUAGCAUUUAAUUACCUUAUACAUGAAUUUUAUUUAUCUGGCGAUUUUUUCGCGUUGUUGAUUAAUAUAUAAAACGUAAUCCUAUUGUAGGCGAUGUUGUAUGACUUCAAUACACGGUUAUUUGUU